UACGAAGGGUGCAAGCGUUAAUCGGAAUUACUGGGCGUAAAGCGUGCGCAGGCGGCUUUGCAAGACAGAUGUGAAAUCCCCGGGCUCAACCUGGGAACUGCAUUUGUGACUGCAAGGCUAGAGUACGGUAGAGGGGAGUGGAAUUCCGCGUGUAGCAGUGAAAUGCGUAGAUAUGCGGAGGAACACCGAUGGCGAAGGCAGCUCCCUGGACCUGUACUGACGCUCAUGCACGAAAGCGUGGGGAGCGAACAGG
RNAcentral lists this ribosomal RNA (253 nucleotides) under uncultured bacterium. Its description in RNAcentral is "partial 16S ribosomal RNA". It matches the Rfam family "Bacterial small subunit ribosomal RNA", at positions 524 to 776 of the family's 1533-position model. The record is from RNAcentral.